CUUGAUUAACUAUAAGAGGUCAAGCCUGCCCAGUGACAUUGUUCAACGGCCGCGGUAUCCUAACCGUGCGAAGGUAGCGUAAUCACUUGUCCUUUAAAUAAGGACUAGUAUGAACGGCUUCACGAAGGCUAUACUGUCUCCUUUAUCCAAUCAGUUAAACUAAUCUCCCCGUGAAGAAGCGGGGAUUCGUCUAUAAGACGAGAAGACCCUAUGGAGCUUUAAACAUCUAAGACAUCUGAUUAUAUCCACACUAGACUUCACAUAGCCCAUCAUUUUGUCUUAAGUUUUAGGUUGGGGUGACCACGGAGAAAAAUCAAACCUCCACGUAGAAAGAAACUUCUUUUCUAAGCAAAAAGCCACAUCUUUAUGCAUCAAAAUAUUGACCUAAAUUGACCCAAUUUCUUGCUCAACGAAC
Molecule: ribosomal RNA, 415 nt
Filed under: Allobates femoralis group sp. ABGD cluster 12
Lineage: Eukaryota; Metazoa; Chordata; Amphibia; Anura; Aromobatidae
Description: partial large subunit ribosomal RNA
Rfam family: Bacterial large subunit ribosomal RNA
Source: RNAcentral